Long non-coding RNA from Mandrillus leucophaeus (drill), 1153 nucleotides. RefSeq lists it as uncharacterized. The record is from RefSeq and is a predicted model, not a curated record. The transcript has 2 exons. NCBI's taxonomy places the organism in Eukaryota, Metazoa, Chordata, Mammalia, Primates, Cercopithecidae.
AGCUAAUUAAUCCCAUCCGGUUAUUACAUGGGGAUUCCGAGGGAUAAAGGGAAAUGGACAAGCUGGAUGGGGGCAUUUGGGUUGAUGCAGCACUUGUGAAGGCUGAAUGGCAAUGACAGUGGCUGCCCUCGGUCCAGAAUACAGGGUAGGAACACGUCCUCCCUGUCACUGGCUCCCUCUGCAGCUGGCUCCCAGCCUGCGGGGCACUUAGGUAGAUGGCAGCAUGGGCAGGGGGCCAGGUCCGAGGACCGAGAAGCACGUUCACAGACACACCCUCUAGGGCUCCCAGUUCUUUAAUCUGGGGGAUGGGUCUCCCCCUAAAACAGUCAUUCUCCCACAAUGGGAAGAACCCUAGUGUCCAGAGCUACCUCCUCCUUCCCAGAUCCGCAAGUUGGGCCAGGGAAGUGACUCUGGCUGUUAGCCACAGCCCACGCCUACCCUUGCCCUGUGAUUCAGACACCCGAGUUCAGAGCCAGCCUCCAAGAGUAUCUUAUAUCCCAGCCUCUCCUGGAAGGUCGUAUGAUCCAGCACUGGGGAGAGAAGGGAAAUCCCCAGGACUCAAAUGCCCAUCCCACUCUCGGUGAAGUGAGGACUCAUCCUGCUGGAAAGGCCCCUAAAUAACUUCAAGUUCCAAUAUCCCAUUUUUACAGAUGGGGAAGCUGACAUGAAGAGGAGUCCAAAGUGUCACAGUCAACCCAGAAUUGUUGCUUCUCAAGUCCCAAGUCCACCUCCUGGCACUGCUAAGAAGUCCACCUGGAGGUGAUGAGAACUUACAGGCUUUGGUAAUGGACAACUCUGGAUGCCUGGAGCCUUCCUUCCUUUUGGCAUUACAGAACCACAAGAAGUCAUCUAGAAUCAUCGAGAUUCUCAACUCCAUUGGCCAAGCUGGAACCAGCAAAAUCUCAGACAUCUAGAAUUGCCACUGCUUCCUUGACUCUGUGAUCAGUCUAGAGCCACAGAAUCCUGAUUCCCUCUGGACAUUCUAGAAUGGCACUUAAAAAAAACCCACCCCGUGGAUCCUUUCAAAGCAUUGCUUAUUCUCUUGGUUGGGUGCUCUACAGCCAGAAGUUGGAGUUAUCUAAUAUCAAGAACUCCUAAUCUGUUACUUUAGUCUUUCUAAACCCACAGACUCCACAAUGUUUUGUGCAUUCUA